RNAcentral lists this unclassified non-coding RNA (2007 nucleotides) under Neodiprion lecontei (redheaded pine sawfly). Its description in RNAcentral is "uncharacterized LOC107225845, transcript variant X1". Lineage: Eukaryota; Metazoa; Arthropoda; Insecta; Hymenoptera; Diprionidae. The record is from RNAcentral.
GAUAGUUGGAUGAGGGUGAAAAAACAGAAUAACCAGACAGUGCAGGGGAUAAUACAAAGGCAAAGUAUGUAGUACGGAAAUCAAAAUUAAAAAAAUUGAAGUACAGACAACCAAAAGAUUGGAAUGUCAGAGUUAACUAGAGUACUACCGAUGAUUGCUGUGUGUAAAAGAGAAAAAAACGUCCGACCGGUAUCUGGCUGCAGGAAUCAAUCAUCGAACGAGCAUUUCGCAAGUCGAGAAAAUGAUCGAUGCGAGACACGUGACGCGGGGGUCGUGCCGACGACACGCCUUAUCAGUCUUCGAUCGAAGGGUUCUCCUAAUAAUCAUCGGUCGAGCCACAUGCGAUUGAAAAGGAAGACGGGAGUCUCGCAAUUAGGGUUUCACGCCGGCAUCAGCGCAAAAGAUUUAAUUAUCCCGACCAUCAUCGAAGGACCAUUCAAUCAAAUCCGAAUCUGACUGCUGUAACUCAUUCCAUUUGUUUUUUCGCGAAGAACAAGUAUUUUAGCAGAGCCUCAAAGAGUCGAUAAAUACAUCAAAACACAUCGAAGGUUUAGAUUCUUUUUUUUUUUUAGAAUACAAAAAACCAAAAAUUCGUAAAAAUUAUCUGAUUUUUCCGUCUACAAUUGACAAUUUUGGAGCUAUUCGAAGACCGUCGAAAGAAUCCAGUCGGCAAACUGAAUAUCUCUACAUUAUACCGAGUCUCUCGCGUAUCUCAGUAGUGGUUAAUAAUUCAAAAGAAUGAACGAACAUCGAAUUUGUAAAGCGUCGUAAAAAUAGGUUAAGCCAUGUUUUGGUCUCCGUAAAGAACAUCGAAGAACAAUGAUGAUAACGAAAACAUUGAACUUUGUUCUAAUUCUCUUGACAUGUUAAUAAAAAAUUGAAUAUGUGGAGCAAGUGUCAUCGAUCGUAGACUGCAGACGUUUUGUUGAACCGACAUUUACCUCAUACCCUGCACGUCAGUCUCGGCAUGACUGUGUGCUUUUGUACUACGCGUGACAUUAAUUUUAUCGUCGUUUUGAUUCGCUCUGCAGAUUUUCAAACGGCGCGAGGUGACUCGGCAAGAAUGUUAUAAGGCGCUGACAUUUUUACUCGCUGUGAAGUCUGAGGACAUUGAUUUAAAUUUUCCAUGCAUGAGGAAUUAUAUACCCAUAAUUUGACUCUGUCAGGUCGAUUUUUCAAAACUCUAAUCACUUCGAAGUGACAUUUAAUAUGAAAGACACAAUGUUUUUUAAGAUUAUCGAACAAUCUUCGGAAACAAAUUUUGGUCCAACUCAUGCAUCUGAUUAAAAUAACCGAUGGUUUCGUAAUAUUGAAGGAGUAUUUAAUAAUUAAUUGGAUUGUUAAUCGGAAUCGAAUUGGACCACUAUUUUAUCAUCAUUAGGGUGAAAAUUGUGAAUAUUUUUUGGCGAGGAAAUCUCACUAGGCAAGACCUCUGAAAAAGAAAUUGAUCGUACUCUCAAUCUGACUGUAUAUUUAUUUUUAUGAGAAGGACAAGAUUCUGUGUUACCGAUUGAUGUUUCAGCUGUUACGUUGAGCAUUUGUCCUGCAUGUGAAAAGUAGGUAUCACGAUGUGUUUCGGAAGAUUUUGAAAAAUUGGGUUUUAGUUGUACGAAGUAAUGUUAGGUUCUGAAACAGUGUCAAGACUGGCUAAAAAAACAUGACCAACACUAGCGAUAAUUACACGAAUAUUAUAAACAGUUGAAUAAACGGCCUUUUGAAAACGCAACUGACGCAUAAGAAUUCACACGGGAGAUCGGAGUUCUUGAGCCGAACAAAAUUGAGUUACUUUCCUAUUCUGCAAGCUACCUACAACGAGUAUGCUAUCUUUUGAUAGUCAAAAAUUAAAAACUUAUUCUGAAUUAAUUUUAAGAUCGAAGACAACAGCAAUUUAAAUUAUAAUAUCUUGAAAUAGUGCGAGUAGAUGUAAAGUUUGGCAUAUAAAUCAUAAGAUGGUUUUUUCAGUGAAUCUCAUUGUUCACCAUACAAAGAAAAUAUCAAAUUCCCGUG